Molecule: ribosomal RNA, 478 nt
Filed under: uncultured bacterium
Lineage: Bacteria
Description: bacterial SSU rRNA
Rfam family: Bacterial small subunit ribosomal RNA
Source: RNAcentral
CUGGCUCAGGACGAACGCUGGCGGUGUGCUUCAUACAUGCAAGUCGAACGAUAAGGUCCCUUCGGGGAUACAUAAGUGGCGGACGGGUGAGUAACACGUAGAAAAUCUACCUCGAGGAAGGGGACAACAGUUGGAAACGACUGCUAAUACCCUAUAUGAGCUGGGCUGAAACGCCUAUCUUGAAAGUUCCGGCGCCUUGAGAUGAGUCUGCGUCUGAUUAGCUAGUUGGUGGGGUAAAUGCCUACCAAGGCGACGAUCAGUAGCUGGUUUGAGAGGAUGACCAGCCACAAUGGGACUGAGACACGGCCCAUACUCCUACGGGAGGCAGCAGUAGGGAAUUUUGCGCAAUGGGGGAAACCCUGACGCAGCAACACCGCGUGAACGACGAAGCCCUUCGGGGUGUAAAGUUCUGUCAGUAGGGACGAAUUUUGACGGUACCUACAAAGGAAGCAUCGGCUAACUACGUGCCAGCCGCAGC